This 568-nucleotide long non-coding RNA is filed under the name Androctonus crassicauda. Lineage: Eukaryota; Metazoa; Arthropoda; Arachnida; Scorpiones; Buthidae. The record is from RNAcentral.
AUAGGUAAGGACACAAAAAACUCAGGAUUGGAUAUUGACAGAAAAUAAACUUGUAUAAAAGAAUAAUAAAUAUUUAUUGAAGCAUAAAUAAAAGAUUAACAUAACGAUAUAAAGGUACUAACAAUAAUGCAUGAUUAAUUUAAACCUAACUCUACUUAACCCUAACGUAACUUACGUUACAAUAUUCAUUUGUGUAUUAAUAUAUUGUUUGGAGAGAGAAUGCAUGUUCCACGUCUUCCACAUAUCUGAGAGUGAGUUUGCCGGUGUUAUAUCAUAUCAAUAAUCCACCUUGACAGUAAUCCAUACAUUAUCACAAAAUGUUAAAAUGUUUACCAAUAAAACCAAUGUGGUUGCAAAGCUGAAAUCACUCGCCCCGCCGGUGAUUCCAGUUAAGCCGACCGGGCGGGGAUUUCAGCUUUUCCGUGGCGCCUCCUCGCGGUGCAACCGGGUAACGUUCUGUCCCUAUCCCGGUCUGAGGAGUUUGGCCUGCGCGGCAGGUGCAGCGCUGAAAAGGGCGACAUUUGUCGCGCUGGCGACCCUCCUCUGGGUGGCACCUGGCUGUCGUGGU